ACCCAAGAAUUAGAAUAUUGAAAAGUCCCCUUUCCUUCUUCUUUCUCUCCCGAUCUAUAUCACUCUUAUUCUUCGUUUUCUCUUCUUCCUCUCUUUUUUCUCUACACCUCUCACAAAAUCUGAUUUCGUUUAUCCAACCCUCUCACUAACCCUAGUAUGACGUCGUCAGAUCUGGAAUCUCCAGUGAAGAUCAAUACGCCGCCGAUAAGCCUCCAAGGAAGAAACGUCAUCACUGACACACUCCUCAACAGAUCUAAGAGCUCCAAUCGUAAUCUCCUCUAUUUCUUUUCGAUCUAGUUAAUACCUAUUCAGAUAUGAGUGUUUUUUGGGUUGGGGAUUUCAGGUUGAGUGGUUGAGAUGGAGGGUUCGUUUUUUCAUUCCAAAUUCGGUGAAGCUCUUCUCAGGUGGUGUGAGUGAAUCUGGACCUUUUCUCUCUUAUUUCGAUUUCCCUUUUCUCUUACUCUCUUGUCCUCUCCUCCCUUUUGUUGUUGUUUGUUUGUUGCAUGUUCGAUUAUUGCAGUGGAUUUGCGAUAAGUUGAAAAGAUUCUUUCAAAAUACUCGAUUCCACUAAAUGCAGCAUCUGCUAUGAACGAGGAAAAUUUCAUAUACAUGCUCUUGUACCUCCACAACGGUUCACCUCUUAGCGAAUUUAAAUUUUUAAUUUCUAUCCUCAUUGUCCGUAUGUACAAGAAAAGGUUUGUUGUGUCGCAAGUGAAAACAAUUUUUCAAAGAUUAGAGGUACCAGAGUGAAGAGUUCAAGUUUAAAUACAAGAUUUGUAGUAGCUUAUGCUCAGUGCCAGCAGCAAAGGGAUUGUUUUCUUUUCUAAGAGACUCAGAUGUAUAAACCCUUGUUCAAACGAGAUUUUAUACAAGAUAUAGGUCUUUUGUAUCACUGUUUCAUAUAAAUCUAUUAUAAUAAAAGUAAGAUCUUCUCUUUUA
Molecule: non-coding RNA, 939 nt
Organism: Camelina sativa (false flax)
Lineage: Eukaryota; Viridiplantae; Streptophyta; Magnoliopsida; Brassicales; Brassicaceae
Source: RefSeq, a predicted model, not a curated record